This is a non-coding RNA of Oryza barthii, 205 nucleotides long. NCBI's taxonomy places the organism in Eukaryota, Viridiplantae, Streptophyta, Magnoliopsida, Poales, Poaceae. The record is from Rfam.
AAAAAGACAAACCCUGAGUUUUCGUGUCUAACUUUGACAGUCCGUCUUAUAUGAAAAUUUUUUAUAAUUUGUAUUUUUAUUAUUGUUAGAUGAUAAAAUAUUAUUAAUAUUUUAUGUGUGACUUAUCUUUUUAAUUUUUUUCAUAAUUUUUUUAAAUACGACGGAUGGUCAAAUGUUGGACACGAAAAUCAAGGUUUUUCUUUUU